UGGGGAAUCUUCCGCAAUGGACGAAAGUCUGACGGAGCAACGCCGCGUGAGUGAAGACGGCCUUCGGGUUGUAAAGCCCUGUGAUCCGGGACGAAAGAGCCUGAGGUGAAUAGCCUAAGGAAGUGACGGUACCGGAAAAGCAAGCCACGGCUAACUACGUGCCAGCAGCCGCGGUAAUACGUAGGUGGCAAGCGUUGUCCGGAAUUAUUGGGCGUAAAGCGCGUGCAGGCGGCUUCCUAAGUCCAUCUUAAAAGUGCGGGGCUUAACCCCGUGAUGGGAUGGAAAGUGGGAAGCUGGAGUAUCGGAGAAGAAAGUGGAAUUCCUAGUGUAGCGGUGAAAUGCGUAGAGAUUAGGAAGAACACCGGUGGCGAAGGCGACUUUCUGGACGAAAACUGACGCUGAGGCGCGAAAGCGUGGGGAGCAAACAGG
This 429-nucleotide ribosomal RNA is filed under the name Fusobacteriota bacterium. RNAcentral describes it as "Fusobacteria bacterium partial 16S ribosomal RNA". It matches the Rfam family "Bacterial small subunit ribosomal RNA", at positions 355 to 776 of the family's 1533-position model. The record is from RNAcentral. Lineage: Bacteria; Fusobacteriati; Fusobacteriota.